This 95-nucleotide ribosomal RNA is filed under the name Caldalkalibacillus horti. Lineage: Bacteria; Bacillati; Bacillota; Bacilli; Caryophanales; Bacillaceae. The record is from RNAcentral.
GUCACACGCGUUCCCAUACCGAACACGACCGUUAAGCCUUCCAGCGCCGAUGGUACUUGGGGUUUUACCCCUGGGAGAGUAGGACGUUGCCGGGC